GUAAUUAACCCCAACUUCAAACCAAAUCACACAGCUUCUCCGUGGUGGCGGCACUUUCUCACGAGCAGCCAAUCGCACUUCGGCCGGCGGCGACGGAAACCCUCAAUCUCCGGUACAUAUAUACCCGCUUUCUCGGAUGAUUCAAGUGACCAUAAAACCCCGAACCACACUCCCACUGCAAGACUCGAACCAAAAAUGCACUUUUCGUCGCCAUCCCCAACCGCGUCGUUCGCAAGCCUUGCAUUGGCAGCAUUGUUUGGCGCCUCAGUCACCGCAAUCUCCGCCUUCUACAUCCACAAGCGUACCGUCGAUCAAGUCCUGGACCGCCUCAUCAAUCUCCGCCAACGCUAUCUUCACUCCGCCGCCGCCUCCGCCUCCGCGGACGAUCAUUCCCUUCAUUCCCAUGACGACGGCGGUGGCGGAGGAUAUUUGGAGUCCAACGGAGAGAUUGAUAUUGAUUGGAGCAAGUUGAGGUACGGACAUGCUAAUGAGAACGUGCUGAGUGCUUACAGAGUUUCGUCUUCAUCGCCAAAUGUAGGUUUGCCGAACGAGUGGGUAGAUGCGGCGGGUGGAAAUAGAGCGCCUUCAGCAUCUUGCGAUGACUUAAAUUUGAUUUCUUCUGACUUACCUCCUAUUCAUACUGUUCCGAAGGAUGCACAGGAUCAGUCUGUUAACAAUCCAGGUUCUAAGUUCUGGGUAGGAUCUGGUGGUAGGCUAAUGACUCCUAGGUCCUCGGGUGGCUAUGCAUUUGAAAGUUCAGUAGAUUCUGAUGAAGAAGGACCAGAGCUUGCAACUCAGGAUGACAUCCUUUUCACCUAUAAGAAUAUCAACUUCUCAGCUGAAUAUACAAAUUUAAUUGAUAACAGUUCAAAUAUUCAAACUUCGUCAACUCCUUUGUUCAAAGUUGAUAACAGGAGCUCUAUCCUAGAUAAGGAAUGUAGAUCAAUUCCUAACGAUCUGAAAGAAAAUAUAGACCAAUAUGGUGAUGGAAAAGCAGAAACAGCCUCAAUGAACAUCUCAGGGAAUGAUCCCAUUUUUGUGAACAAUAGUUUUCAUCUGACGACUACAAUGAAUGAGUCAAUCUACAAGGAAGAGGAGGAAGUAUGGAAGAUGAUGAUCUGUGAAUGUUUGGCUUUGCGGGACAGAUAUCUUUACAGAGAAAAAGUUGCCCCAUGGAUGAAGUUGACUGUGGGUGAAUCUUGUUCAUCAAGGACAAAAAGUGAUCCACUUUGCUUUGUCCCUGUUGAAGCUACUUCUCACUAUUUUAGAAUGGAAGAUGGAGUUGUGCAUGUUUAUGCAAGUGAAAAUGACUCUACGGAUCUUUUCCCUGUUGCAAGUUCAACUGAAUUUUUCACGGAUAUGCAUUACCUCCUCAAAGUUAUGUCCAUAGGAAAUGCUCGCACUGCGUGCCAUCAUCGUUUACGAUUUCUUGAGGAGAGAUUCCGCCUCCAUUUGCUAGUAAAUGCAGACAAAGAGUUUCUAGCUCAGAAGAGUGCACCUCAUCGUGAUUUCUACAAUAUCAGAAAAGUUGAUACACAUGUGCAUCAUUCUGCUUGCAUGAACCAGAAGCAUCUUCUACGCUUCAUUAAGUCUAAAUUAAGAAAAGAACCGGAUGAGGUUGUGAUAUUUCGUGAUGGGAUAUACCUUACACUUAAGGAAGUCUUUGAGAGUCUACAACUAACUGGUUAUGAUCUUAAUGUUGAUCUUCUGGAUGUGCAUGCUGACAAAAGUACCUUUCAUCGAUUUGACAAAUUCAAUCUCAAGUAUAAUCCUUGUGGGCAGAGCAGACUCAGAGAGAUCUUUCUGAAGCAGGACAAUCUCAUCCAAGGUCGUUUCAUAGCAGAGGUGACAAAGGAGGUUUUAUUAGAUCUUGAAGCAAGCAAAUAUCAGAUGGCAGAGUACAGGGUGUCCAUAUAUGGAAGGAAACAAAGUGAAUGGGAUCAGUUGGCAAGUUGGUUUGUUAACAAUGCAUUAUAUAGCAAGAAUGCAGUUUGGUUAAUCCAGCUACCGAGGCUAUACAACGUGUACAAGGGCAUGGGUACUGUUACAUCCUUUCAGAACAUUCUAGACAAUAUGUUCAUUCCACUCUUUGAAGUCACAGUCAAUCCCAAUUCUCAUCCACACCUACAUUUGUUCUUGAUGCAGGUUGUGGGCUUUGACCUUGUAGAUGAUGAAAGUAAACCUGAAAGACGUCCAACUAAGCACAUGACAAAGCCUUCAGAAUGGACAAAUGAGUUUAAUCCUGCAUACUCGUACUAUGCUUAUUAUUGCUAUGCAAACUUGUACACUCUUAAUAAGCUUCGUGAAUCAAAAGGGAUGCCUACAAUUAGACUGAGGCCGCAUUGUGGAGAGGCAGGUGAUAUUGAUCAUUUGGCCGCUGCUUUUCUUCUGUGUCACAACAUAUCACAUGGGAUCAAUUUGCGGAAAUCUCCUGUUUUGCAGUAUUUGUAUUACCUUGCUCAGAGAUACGAUGAUUAACAACUUUGAGCUAUGUUCCGGCCUCAUUCCUUUUCAAUUGUUGGAUGUUAUUUGUUGAGGAAGAAGUCUCGGUGCGAAGGAGAUAAAACUGAAGAAGAGGAAGCAGAUCAGGUUGAAGAUAUCCAAAAAAGAAGGAAGAAUAUGAGGCUGAAUGAAAGAAGAUAAAGAUCACAGCAAAGCCUAAUAAUUAGGAGGAAAAUCAGGGGAAAAAUUCUCUCCUUAUCUAUUGUUCUUUUUGUAUUUUAAAUCUCCUAAAAUUUAGAUAGAAGAUAAAUAGAAUUGUUGUGUAUAAAGCAACCUUGUAACCGAGAAUAAGAGAGUAGUAGUUGGUAUUUUACAACCCUAUUACUUCGAGGGUAUUAAUUCCCAAAUUCUCUAAAUUCGUUCAUGGUAUCAGAGCCCGGUUUUUGAUAAUCUGCAUACUCUUUUUCACACCAAACUGCUUCAAGAUGGCUAGUUCUUCAUCAACUAGUGAAUCCUCAACUAUUUGCCCUACAACCUCUCGAUCUAUACUCCCAACUUCUGCCCCUAUUUCGUUAGUUCACCACACCCUUCAAAUCACUCAACAUAAACUCAAUGGGACCAAUUUUCGGGAAUGGUCCCAAUCGGCCAUCUUGGUUAUGAAAGGCAAAGGGAAAGUGGAAUACCUAACGGGGGGAGUUUCAAGGCCAGAUCUUGAAGCUGCCAAUUAUGACGCAUGGGAUGCUGAAACUCUAUAGUAAUGGCUUGGCUCAUCAAUUCCAUGGAGCCAAAGAUAGGGAGGACCUAUCUGUUCUAUAAAACAACAAAAGAAGUAUGGGAUGCUGUCCAAAGUCUUUACUCAGACAUGGAGAAUACAUCACAAUGUUUUGAAGUUCGAUCAACCCUAAGAAUCACUUGCCAAGGUAACCAUUCGGUGACUGAUUACUAUAAUAUAUUAUGUGAAUUAUGGUAGGAGAUGGAUUUGUUUUAUGAUAUUAGUUGGGAGUGUACAAAGGAUGGGGUGAAGUAUUCUAAAAUGAUAGAGAAAGAGAGGGUAUUUGACUUCCUACAUGGGCUGAAUUCUGACUUAGAUGAAGUAAGAGGAAGGCUAUUAGGAACCAAACCCUUUCCAUCUAUCAAGGAGGCUUUUGCUGAAGUUAGGAGAGAAGAAAGUCGCAAGAAGGUAAUGCUAAAUACAUCACCUGAAGUUAAUAAUUAGAAUGGAUCGACUCUUGCUGCUUCUAAACAAAGGGCAACACCAACUCAUGGAGACCCUCCAAAGGAUAAACAAUGGUGUGACUAUUGGUACAAACCCUACUGCACUAAAGAAACCUAUUGGAAAAUACAUGGGAAGCCAGCAAACUAGAAAGGGAGAAAUCAGAAGAAGCAACAAACAACCUAUGCAGUUGAUGCGAAAGAAGGUAAAGGUACUAAUUUUACCUUAACCCUAGAACAAUUGGAGGUUUUGCAACAGGUUUUGAACCAAACAAGGGUUACAAAACCAUCAGAUUCUGUAGAAGUACCCAAUCCAGCAGCUUCCCAUGUGAAACAAGGUGAUUUUCAUAAUUGCUACCUCUCUAAAUUGCUGAAUAUGAAUGAUUGGAUUGUGGAUACUUGGGCUUUCGACCAUAUGACCGGACCCUUACAUGGAAUGGCUGAUUACAAAUAGUGUGAGAAAAAUAUAAAGGUAACUAUGGUAGAUGGUACAAUAUCCUAUGCUGUAGGGGAAGACUCAGUAUAUUUAGAUGAUUUGUGGUUGAAAUCUAUCUUGUAUGUGCCUACAUUGAGAUGUAAUCUUUUGUCCAUCAGCAAAAUUGCAAAGUAAUUUCUCUCCAACUCAUUGUGUAUUUCAGGACUUAAUUUCGGGGAGGAUAAUUGGCAAUGCUGAGGAGAAAGAGGGCCUAUACUAUGUGAAAGGAACUGCUGGCGAUUCUAGAUUGGAUUGGCCAUGUCACCACUGAGCAACAAUUCCCUUUUCCUGGAUUAUCACCGCAACCCAU
RNA transcript from Diospyros lotus (date-plum), 4439 nucleotides. It is a transcript of the gene named probable AMP deaminase, with no coding region annotated. NCBI's taxonomy places the organism in Eukaryota, Viridiplantae, Streptophyta, Magnoliopsida, Ericales, Ebenaceae. The record is from RefSeq and is a predicted model, not a curated record. The transcript has 17 exons.